GUGUCAGCAGCCGCGGUAAUACGUAGGGUGCGAGCGUUGUCCGGAAUCAUUGGGCGUAAAGCGCGUGUAGGCGGCUUGUUAAGUCCGCUCUGAAAGCCCGGGGCUCAACCCCGGGAGGCGGGUGGAUACUGGCAAGCUCGAGUCCGGAAGAGGCGAGUGGAAUUCCUGGUGUAGCGGUGAAAUGCGCAGAUAUCAGGAGGAACACCAAUGGCGAAGGCAGCUCGCUGGGACGUGACUGACGCUGAGACGCGAAAGCGUGGGGAGCAAACAGGAUUAGAAACCCGAGUAGUCC
This 292-nucleotide ribosomal RNA is filed under the name uncultured bacterium. RNAcentral's name for it is "partial 16S ribosomal RNA". It matches the Rfam family "Bacterial small subunit ribosomal RNA", at positions 505 to 796 of the family's 1533-position model. The record is from RNAcentral.